AUGGAUGCGCCGCCGCCGCCGUCGCCGGCGGCGCACAACCUCAAGAAGCGCAAGUUGGGCCGACAUGAUGAGCAAGAACCACCACCGGAGAGCGGCAGGGCCAGCGACGGGGUCGGCCUCGACUUCUUCAACGCCCUCCCCGACGACCUCCUGUGCACCAUCAUCUCUCUCCUCCCCACCAAAGACGGCGCCCGCACGCAGGCCCUCGCCCGCCGGUGGCGGCCCCUCUGGCGCUCCGCGCCCCUCAACCUCGUCGGCCAUGGCCUCUCCGGCCAGGUGGGUAAGCGCGUCGUCUACAUCUCGAAGAUCCUCGCCGAGCACCCUGGCCCGGCCCUCCGCCUCUCGCUCCCCUGCCUCCAUGAACGCUACCACGACAAGAUCGAAGGCUGGCUUCGUUCCCAGGCCCUCACCGACCUCCAAGAGCUCAGCUUCGGCUACGAACCCCCAGGCUUCCCACCGUACCGGCUGCCGCCGCCCCCGAUACCACAGUCCGCGCUCCGCUUCGCGCCGACACUCCGCGUCGCCAGAAUCUGCUACUGCUAUUUCCCCAAGCUGCCUGCCGAGUCUCUGAAUUUUCCGCAUCUCAAGCAGCUCACCAUGUACAUGCUCACCAUCUCGGACUUGUCUGCGUCGUCUCUGAAUUUUCCGCACCUCAGGCAGCUCACCACACAUGCAGUCACCAUCUCGGGGGACGCUCUGCACAGCUUGCUCUCUGGCUGCCUUUCGCUGGAAAGCCUUAUACUGAAAGAUAAUGUUGGCGUUGGCCGCCUCCGCAUCAGCUCCUCGACUAUUAGGAGCAUAGGCUUUUCUGCUCCUCAUACGUCUGUGGCUUCCCCUGUCCAAGAGCUGCUCAUCGUGGACGCCCCUUGCCUUGGGAGGUUUCUACCACUCAGUGGAGGCUAUGGUCCCUCCACAGUCCAGAUCAUCGGAGCACCCAAGCUGCAGAUGACGGUUUUGCUGUCAAAUGGCACAUCCAAACUCCAUAUUGGAAAUGGAACCAUGGGUUUUCAGGAAAUGCCUGCCAUCAGUGUGACAACCAUCAUGCACACUGUCAAGUUUUUGGUUAUUGACACCGUUGGCCCUGAUCUUGAUGCAGUAAUUGGCUUCCUCAAGUGCUUCCCCUGCUUAGAGAGGCUGUAUAUCAUUUCACACCUACGGAAAGGAAUGAAAAAUGUGCGAAAAUAUGACCUGCUGGAUCCAAUUGAAUGCCUCACGCUCCAUCUCAAAAGCGUGGUCUUGCAGAACUACUGGGGCAACAAGCCAGAUGUGGACUUUGCCAAAUUUUUCAUCUUGAAUGCAAUGGUGCUAGAGCAAAUGAUAUUUAUAACCCUCAACAGCUGCAAUGAAAAAUGGAUGUCUGAUCAACAUAGGCGGCUGCAAGUGGACCACAGAGCUUCUCUACAUGCUCGAUUUGAAGUCAAAAGCUAUUUGAGUCGGCACUGGAUUGACUUCGCAGAUAGCAAGCAUACCCAUGAUUUAUCUGUGGCGAAUCCCUUUGCUGAUAGGUUCGAGAACCGCAUACUGGCCUUUGGCCUGACUUCUUUUGUAGUUUGA
Molecule: ribosomal RNA, 1554 nt
Filed under: Triticum aestivum (bread wheat)
Lineage: Eukaryota; Viridiplantae; Streptophyta; Magnoliopsida; Poales; Poaceae
Description: partial small subunit ribosomal RNA
Source: RNAcentral